RNAcentral lists this small RNA (1546 nucleotides) under Pongo abelii (Sumatran orangutan). RNAcentral's name for it is "retained intron". The record is from RNAcentral. Lineage: Eukaryota; Metazoa; Chordata; Mammalia; Primates; Hominidae.
GUCGUGUCUCAGCCUGGAGAGUGCGCGCACCGCCGCCGGGGCAGCCGCUGGCUCCAGCUCACGAAACAGCCCCGGGCGCCGCGCCGCUCCGAGUCCAGCCUCUUACUGAGAACAGUCCCUCCCUUGUGCGGGUCGCACGGCUAGCCGCAGGUUCGGCCACGUCAAAUCCAUUUUCUAAAAAAGCAGAGAGCAGAGCUCUCUCUUCGCCGCCGACGCAGAAAGAAGGAGCUGGGGAGGAAAAAGCUGCUGCUUUUUGCGCUGGAGAUUCGUGGGCAAGGCUUCUCAUUUUCCCAGGCUGCUUCCCCUCCCGGGUGAGGAGCGCCCUGAGACUAAGGAAAGAGCCUGGAAAAUGGAGCAGACCUGGACGAGCACCUCAAUGACCUGAAGAAGGAGAACUUCAGCCUCAAGCUGCGCAUCUACUUCCUGGAGGAGCGCAUGCAACAGAAGUAUGAGGCCAGCCGGGAGGACAUCUACAAGCGGAACAUUGAGCUGAAGGUUGAAGUGGAGAGCUUGAAACGAGAACUCCAGGACAAGAAACAGCAUCUGGAUAAAACAUGGGCUGAUGUGGAGAAUCUCAACAGUCAGAACGAAGCUGAGCUCCGACGCCAGUUUGAGGAGCGACAGCAGGAGACGGAGCAUGUUUAUGAGCUCUUGGAGAAUAAGAUCCAGCUUCUGCAGGAGGAAUCCAGGCUAGCAAAGAAUGAAGCUGCGCGGAUGGCAGCUCUGGUGGAAGCAGAGAAGGAGUGUAACCUGGAGCUCUCAGAGAAACUGAAGGGAGUCACCAAAAACUGGGAAGAUGUACCAGGAGACCAGGUCAAGCCCGACCAAUACACUGAGGCCCUGGCCCAGAGGGACAAGAGAAUUGAAGAACUGAAUCAGAACCUGGCUGCCCAGGAGAGGCUUGUAGAACAGCUGUCUCGGGAGAAACAACAACUGCUACAUCUGUUGGAGGAGCCAACUAGCAUGGAAGUGCAGGUAAGGUUUGGUCAGUACGUCCAGAAGCACUUGCUUCAUGCUUUCAUAAGCACUGCUUUUUAAUAUCUAAGUGUAUUUGUUAUCUAUUGCUGUGUAACAGAUUACUACAAACUUAGCAGUUUAAAACACCCUAUUUUUGUUAUCUCACGGUUUCUGUGAGUCAAGAGUCCAGAUAUGGCUUAGCUGAGAUCUGUUUGGAGUCUCAUAAGUGUGAAAUCAAGGUGUAGACUGGGCUGUUUUCUCAUCUGGAGGCAUACCUAGGGAAGGAUCGGCUUCUAAGCUCCCUCAGGCUGUUGGAAGGAUUUAUUGCUGUGUGGCUGUAGAAGUUAUGGCAACUUCCUUCUUCACAGCCAGCAGCAGAAAGGGUCUGUUACUUUUCUCACUUCUAGACUCUCUUUUAAGGGGCUCAUUAGGGCAGGCCCACCAGCAUAAUAUCCCUUUUCAUUAACUUAAAAUCAACAGAUUAGCAGCCCUAAUUACAUCUAUAUGACCUCUUUACUUUUUUCAUAUAACGUAACAUAACUAUGCAGUGACAUUCCAUCACCUUUGCCAUAUUGGUUAGAAGUUACAG